UUUUUCUGGCUGUGCCUGUCAUGCUCAGAUGUGCUUUCCAGCAGUUUGUAUUCCUGAUGAGUUGCAGUUUAAACCUGCAUGCAAAACAGAUGCAGUUUAGCCACGUCAUUUUUGAUGCCUGUAUUCCAAAUCUAUAGUCUCAAAACUUGCACUUGGCAAUUAGUGCCCUAACAAUGGUAGCUAAAUUACAUAUACUUAGAUUUUUGGUCAUAAGUUUUCUUUGCUGCCCACAGAUCUCUGGCUAAGGCCUGCAGUCGCUGGGCACCUUGAGGCCUUGAUGGGACGUGCCACCCAGGUUUUGCCACCAAGGUUUUGCCUUGCUGAUGUGACCUCCGAGGACUGGUCCAGUAGUCAGGAGCUCAGGAGUCUGAAGCAGAGUGGUGCUGACGAAGGUAGUCAUGGCAUCCAUCUUCCACCACUGCCUAGGGCUCAGAGCUGCAGGAGGCACGGGAUGGAAGUUCCUGCUCUUUCUGAAGUAGAGUUUGUAACCACAAUCUGCUUCCUCCAUGGUGAGUGCUGUAACUGCUAUCACCUGGAGCAGUUUGUGGCAACUGAUUCUGAAUCCUUUUGAAGCAAUCUUUUGCCUAAAAUGGCAGGUGGCCUGCUGGGAAAUGGACGAAAACAUGUCCCUCUCACCUUCUGUUUUUAUACCACCAAAAAUGUCUACGUGUUAGGUAUUGCAAUACUCGGCCUUCAGCCAACUUGCAUAUUUCUUUUCUGCUGGAAUUUUCAUAUUUACCAGGUUCAUAAUCAGUGUUCCAGUGGGAUUUAGACCUCUAAAUAUUGUUUAAAGAUUUGGAGAUAAAACACCUGCCUAAUGACAAAAACACUGCUUCUCAUGUGUCUAAAUCUUCCAGCACCAAAAAUGGUUUUAAAAGAUUAGUCAUGAGUACCCCCUUCACUAGGCGGCAGAGUGCUUCCAACUCCUCUGAAAUAGAGGACAUUCACCGUGUGCCAGGGUCAAGUCUUGACAUUCAGACGUAUGGCUGUCAAAUCAGCAAAUGCUUAAAUGCCUGUCACCCAAGUGCUUGAAAGCUGUGCAAGCAGAGAACAGAACAACUCACUCUGCAGAGCCACAGGCAUCUCUGGAAACGUGAUGGGUGAGCUCAGCAGAUUUUACCAUCAAAUCUGCAACCUGGAGAAGGAUGAGUCCAGUUGUAAAAUAAACAGUAUAUCUGAAGAAGUUGAAUUCUGAAAAUAAUAGCAGGAUUCGUUGUUCCUUGUCACCCUGCAUGAGUUUGGCAUGAGGUACAGAGCUCCAAAUGGAAAGGUAUUCAACGCCUUAGAAGGCAAACAAGUACAGCUUUUUGGCCAAAGCAGUCCCUCUUCUUCUUUUGGAGGGCAAUUUACCAGCGGUGUUCAUCAAAGCUUCUGUACUGUUCGCUCUUGCUUGCCCAUCAGUCUUCAGUGAGUUUGUGUGGCUAGAAGUAGGGCAGAGUUUAGUUUGCUAAGCUCUAGCAAGAUGUAUGUAUCUAUAUACUUAAGUCUUCAUGUAACUAAUCACUGUGUAUUUUUGCACAGUUUUGCAGCAUUCUGGCAAGAUCCAUGAAAGCCAGAAGUUUAAGAGAAAGUGCACUAUAACUUGCCACUUUUAAAUUAUGUGAAUUAAGAUCAGAAUGUCAAUGUCAUUCUGUUUUUUUAUCUUGUGUCACUUCUGACACAGCCUUGAUGGGUCUUUAAAUACAGGCUGUUUUGUAUUUAAAGUUCCUUGUUUUUUCCUUCUUUUAUGAAAAAUCUUUUAUGGUAGGUUAUAUAACCUGUACUAUUAUGUAGCAAGUGGAGAAGGUAGUUUUUAAAUGUUUUACACAUCUUGCUAAAGAUUUCUCAUGAGUGAAUCGACUGCAAGAAAUAUUUAGGCAGUUUUAUAUGCACAGUAAGUGUGCUGAGUUUUGACUGGUGUAGAAGAACCCUUAAAAAAUAUCACAGAGGAGCCAGGGGUUGCAAAACAUCCCAUCCAUUCUUUUACUCCUGUUGCCAAGAAAAGCAGCUUGUUAUUUCAGUCCUAUUAAUUCAGAACUAGUCUGCUUUUGAGUACAUUUGAAGUUUAAGGUCUGAAAUGAACAGAACAAUGCAUGCUUAUAUAUUUAUUGUACAGGAUAGGUGAAAAAGAAACUGUGUUUUCCACCUUAGAUUUUCUAAGCCACUUUCAGAGUCUGUGCCAGAGGACCUUUAAGAAAGGGUCCAAUCCUGAGGCCAUUUUGUAUGUAACCCUACAGAUUUCCUACCUGGAAUGACUGUAACUGAAGACCAAGAGAGUUGUGCCUAGCACUGCAACUUAUUACGGUUUAUUUUGGGACCAAGUUACUAGGUCACCAUGCUUUGUCAACUGUGUACUCACGUGCAGACGCACACAAAAGUAAAGGUGUUAAACUGAUAAAUCAAUCAGUUCAAAAUGCCUCAGAGUAAAUCUUAGAUCAGUAGACAUAUGUAAGUGCACUAUGUAACAAGUGGUCUUCUUAUCUUUCAAAAAGAUAAACUCAGUGAAUUUUUUCAGUUGAAUUGGCACCAAGUUCUCUCUGCUUAAGACUUUUAAUUAUGGUGUUAAGCCAGGUUUUACUGGUAGGAGAAUGUAACAGCAUGACACAUGGUUUAUGUUCUUGUGCUUUAUAAGUGCUAUGAAGUGACCCUGUCUCAGUAUGUUUUUAAAACUCCCGACCUACAACUUUCUAAAUUAGUCUUUAGUGACCUUAGGUAUAUGUUGUAGCUAGUAAGCACAUUAAGAGAAUUAAUGACACUAUGUAUAAGAUAAUGAUUUAUAUGGAGCUCUCUCACAAAACAAGAGUUUUGUGUGUUCCAAACUAUUUUUCAAUGAAGUCUUUACAUUCUUUAACAUUGUGAAACUCCCAUUUUAUUUAGUUAUUUUCUAGGCGUUGGUGUUUUGGAUUCAUGGUCUUACUUGGUUUAUUUCCGCUUGAUUCAUUACAUGCAAAAUUCUUGCCAUGACACAAUUCCUCUUAUAAGAAACUCACUCGGGAUGUGGCAAGAAAACUUCUGUUAAAGACCACAGAAGUUUUUUCUGCAGGAAGGAUAACAGUUUAGGGCCUAUCAUGUACUGGAAGCUGGAUUUGUAAACUUACGCAGUGCAGAAUGGCUUAGGCAGAUAUUUGAAAUUAAAGUAAUUUUUCCUAGACAAUGCUCCCUUUCUCACUGAAAUCUAUGAACUAGCAGUAAGGAAUAUUUCUUUCCAUGGCAAACCCAUGACAAAUUCUUCAGGAAGAAAACACAAGUCCCUCGGAGAAGUCUCGUAAAGUCUUAUGCCAUCAUUAAGUUGCGUUUAUGCCUUUUUAUCAUGUUUGAGAUAUGAGUGCUACCUAGUCACCCCUCACUUUCUGCAAGGGAGUGGCUUGGUCUUGAGGCCCACCUGCAACAUUCUCUACAUGGAUGCAGCCAUAAGGCUGUUUCUCCCACAUCUUGUGGCAAUGUCCUAGCUUGCAAUAAACACAGAAUGAGUGCAGUACAGUUUGAACUGACAAAAAGCUGGACCUGAACAAAGCAUUUUCACACAAUUACACCUUAUAGUCACUUUGCAGCUAGAUAACAAGUUAUACCCCUGAUGAGAAUACAAUAUUUCUUAGUACACUUUAUUCGUAAGGAACCGUGUUAAACUCAGUAACUUGAAGUUCACCAGUUUAUUUGCAGCAUUGGAUCCAAAGCUUUCUUAGCUUCCAAAAAAUUAAUAGGUGGCUUCACAAGAAAAUGUAUGGGCUCAUCUAAGUGCUGAUAUAACACGGAAGAAGUCACCCGCUCACACGACACAGCCUCCCUUGUGUUUACCCCCAGUGUAAGAAGAACAAGGAUUUCCCUCUCAGGAGCAAUGACUGUAUGAAAACACACAGCUUACCAUUUCACCCGCUUUCAACUUCUCUAACCAGGUUUCAGUGCUUACUGCAAUGUUAGGAGUCUGCUGGCAAUAUUAGAAGAUAAGGAGAAUGGAUUUAGCAUGCCUUCUUGCUACCCAGGAUGCAGUCCAUGCCCCUGAAGGAGUCUGGGCAGUUUUGAACUUUUACUGUAUUCCAGCAUUGAAACUUUUAAACAGUAAAUGGAUUUUGAGAACCACUGAA
Harpia harpyja (harpy eagle) is the source of this 4061-nucleotide long non-coding RNA. RefSeq lists it as uncharacterized. The record is from RefSeq and is a predicted model, not a curated record. NCBI's taxonomy places the organism in Eukaryota, Metazoa, Chordata, Aves, Accipitriformes, Accipitridae. The transcript has 2 exons.